Molecule: long non-coding RNA, 610 nt
Organism: Danaus plexippus (monarch butterfly)
Lineage: Eukaryota; Metazoa; Arthropoda; Insecta; Lepidoptera; Nymphalidae
Exons: 3
Source: RefSeq, a predicted model, not a curated record
UUAAGCUAGUCAUGUUCAUAGAUUCCAUAAACAGAAAAUAUUUUUAUUAUUUUCAUUAAUUUAUAUACAUACAAAAUUUACUUAUUUUAUUCUUAACAAUUCAACCUUGAUAGAAAAAAGCCAUGAUCACCGGUGCCGAGUUUUUUACGUUUAAUAUCUGAGUUAAUUGGCUAUGAACCUACAGACUGCAUUAUCGAAUGUAUUUUUAAAAUACGAAGACGUCUUUAACAUAAUAUAAUGAAAAUAAUAGAUUGCAAAUAUGGUGGGUUUUAUUUAAUCUGUGGUUCCGAUACUAGUGACAUUCGGACUUUGGGUUGCGAUUUAGAAAAUAUUGAAAUUAAAGAUACGUGCAUGAAGUAAAUAUGAUAAGAAAAAUAUUAUUUAAAGCAUAAAUAAUUCAUUAUAAAUAAGAUUCAAUAAAUUUAAUUAAGUGUAAAAUAUUUUCAUUGUGUGUUUUUUUUUACAAAACCAGUAACAGUACUUUUAAUUGACUAUUCUUCAUUCAUAUACUAGUUCUUGCCAGCGACUUCGUCCGCGUUAAUGUCAGAAUUAGUAAUAUAUGUAUAGCUGACCGGGCGAACUCUAUCCUGUAUGUUUCGAUAAAACAAAA